RNAcentral lists this ribosomal RNA (669 nucleotides) under uncultured Escherichia sp. Its description in RNAcentral is "bacterial SSU rRNA". It matches the Rfam family "Bacterial small subunit ribosomal RNA", at positions 61 to 719 of the family's 1533-position model. Lineage: Bacteria; Pseudomonadati; Pseudomonadota; Gammaproteobacteria; Enterobacterales; Enterobacteriaceae. The record is from RNAcentral.
GUCGAACGGUAACAGGAAGCAGCUUGCUGCUUUGCUGACGAGUGGCGGACGGGUGAGUAAUGUCUGGGAAACUGCCUGAUGGAGGGGGAUAACUACUGGAAACGGUAGCUAAUACCGCAUAACGUCGCAAGACCAAAGAGGGGGACCUUCGGGCCUCUUGCCAUCGGAUGUGCCCAGAUGGGAUUAGCUAGUAGGUGGGGUAAAGGCUCACCUAGGCGACGAUCCCUAGCUGGUCUGAGAGGAUGACCAGCCACACUGGAACUGAGACACGGUCCAGACUCCUACGGGAGGCAGCAGUGGGGAAUAUUGCACAAUGGGCGCAAGCCUGAUGCAGCCAUGCCGCGUGUAUGAAGAAGGCCUUCGGGUUGUAAAGUACUUUCAGCGGGGAGGAAGGGAGUAAAGUUAAUACCUUUGCUCAUUGACGUUACCCGCAGAAGAAGCACCGGCUAACUCCGUGCCAGCAGCCGCGGUAAUACGGAGGGUGCAAGCGUUAAUCGGAAUUACUGGGCGUAAUGCGCACGCAGGCGGUUUGUUAAGUCAGAUGUGAAAUCCCCGGGCUCAACCUGGGAACUGCAUCUGAUACUGGCAAGCUUGAGUCUCGUAGAGGGGGGUAGAAUUCCAGGUGUAGCGGUGAAAUGCGUAGAGAUCUGGAGGAAUACCGGUGGCGAA